GAUCACAGCAUCCUGUUAUUUUCCUUGUAAGCACCUCAUAUCCUUCAUUCUUUAGGCACUGUGAGCCCUGAGAUGUUCAAGAAGAUGUCCAACUCAGAGAUCAUCCAGCACCUGACAGAGCAAUUUAAUAAGCUAUGAAACUGACGACCUCCCUGGUAAGAGUUGCCCUCCAACUGAGUCUGCACCAAGAUAACAAUGAGCGUCAGUAUGAGGCUGAAAGAAACAAGGGGCCAGGGCAGAGGGCACCUGAGCGGCUGGAGAGCCUGUUGGAGAAACGCAAAGAGGUGAGGAGUGUUCCCUGCUGCUUCCUUUCCUUUUUCCCAGCUUGCACCCACUUCUGCCACAGACCCCCUUAUCAGGCCCUGGGCAGUCUUUCAAGAUCAUGAAUAAUGGAGUCUGGCAGUAGUUUCAUAGACCCAUCCUGUAAGGGGUCGUUGCGUGCUCAACUUUUUUCUGGGUUGUGGCUCAAUAAACAAUGUGUAAUUUAGAGUUCUCUUGAAUUCCACUUUUGCUCAGUUUUUCGUUGUCAGCACUCAUUGUCAGGAGUGUUUAAGUGCUGUACCUGCCUGUCAUGCAGGGAAUUAAGUUUUGACCUACUUGUCAAGUGUGCAUUGUGCAAAUGACCGCAGGAGUACUAAAAGCCAACCAUUGACAAGGGAGGCCACAUUUUCAAGGAAUGGAAAGAGCACAGGCCUUCCAGUGAACUCCUGGCUUUAAAUUCUGUUCCAUUUAGUCACUAGCUCCAUAGCCUUAUGUAACCUCUCUUCAGUGUUCUUUUCCUUAAAAAAGGGAUAACCUCACCUUUUUGUGAAGAAUAAAUGAGAUGAGGAGUAAAUUGUGUCACUUGGCA
Nomascus leucogenys (northern white-cheeked gibbon) is the source of this 850-nucleotide long non-coding RNA. RefSeq lists it as uncharacterized. The transcript is spliced from 2 exons. Lineage: Eukaryota; Metazoa; Chordata; Mammalia; Primates; Hylobatidae. The record is from RefSeq and is a predicted model, not a curated record.